RNAcentral lists this ribosomal RNA (466 nucleotides) under uncultured bacterium. RNAcentral's name for it is "partial 16S ribosomal RNA". It matches the Rfam family "Bacterial small subunit ribosomal RNA", at positions 28 to 505 of the family's 1533-position model. The record is from RNAcentral.
GACGAACGCUGGCGGCGUGCUUAACACAUGCAAGUCGAACGGAAAGGCCCUGCUUUUGUGGGGUGCUCGAGUGGCGAACGGGUGAGUAACACGUGAGUAACCUGCCCUUGACUUUGGGAUAACUUCAGGAAGCUGGGGCUAAUACCGGAUAGGAGCUCCUGCUGCAUGGUGGGGGUUGGAAAGUUUCGGCGGUUGGGGAUGGACUCGCGGCUUAUCAGCUUGUUGGUGGGGUAGUGGCUUACCAAGGCUUUGACGGGUAGCCGGCCUGAGAGGGUGACCGGCCACAUGGGGACUGAGAUACGGCCCAGACUCCUACGGGAGGCAGCAGUGGGGAAUAUUGCACAAUGGGCGGAAGCCUGAUGCAGCAACGCCGCGUGCGGGAUGACGGCCUUCGGGUUGUAAACCGCUUUCGCCUGUGACGAAGCGUGAGUGACGGUAAUGGGUAAAGAAGCACCGGCUAACUACG